Molecule: ribosomal RNA, 374 nt
Filed under: uncultured organism
Description: partial 16S ribosomal RNA
Rfam family: Bacterial small subunit ribosomal RNA
Source: RNAcentral
GUAGGUGGCAAGCGUUGUCCGGAAUUAUUGGGCGUAAAGCGCGCGCAGGCGGUUCUUUAAGUCUGAUGUGAAAGCCCACGGCUCAACCGUGGAGGGUCAUUGGAAACUGGAGAACUCGAGUACAGAAGAGGAAAGCGGAAUUCCACGUGUAGCGGUGAAAUGCGUAGAGAUGUGGAGGAACACCAGUGGCGAAGGCGGCUUUCUGGUCUGUAACUGACGCUGAGGCGCGAAAGCGUGGGGAGCAAACAGGGAUUAGAUACCCUGGUAGUCCACGCCGUAAACGAUGAGUGCUAAGUGUUAGGGGGGUUUCCGCCCCCUUAGUGCUGCAGCUAACGCAUUAAGCACUCCGCCUGGGGAGUACGGCCGCAAGGCUG